UACGGAGGGGGCAAGCGUUGUUCGGAAUCAUUGGGCGUAAAGCGCGCGCAGGCGGUCCUGUAAGUCGAGUGUGAAAUCCCGGGGCUCAACCUCGGACGUGCACUCGAUACUGCGGGACUGGAGUACUGGAGAGGAGAGCGGAAUUCCCGGUGUAGAGGUGAAAUUCGUAGAUAUCGGGAGGAACACCAGUGGCGAAGGCGGCUCUCUGGACAGAUACUGACGCUGAGGCGCGAAAGCGUGGGAAGCAAACAGG
Molecule: ribosomal RNA, 253 nt
Filed under: uncultured bacterium
Lineage: Bacteria
Description: partial 16S ribosomal RNA
Rfam family: Bacterial small subunit ribosomal RNA
Source: RNAcentral